GACGAACGCUGGCGGCGUGCCUAAUACAUGCAAGUCGAACGAGAGCGACCGGUGCUUGCACUGGUCAAUCUAGUGGCGAACGGGUGAGUAACACGUGGGUAACCUGCCCAUCAGAGGGGGAUAACAUCCGGAAACGGAUGCUAAAACCGCAUAGGUCUUCGAACCGCAUGGUUUGAAGAGGAAAAGAGGCGCAAGCUUCUGCUGAUGGAUGGACCCGCGGUGCAUUAGCUAGUUGGUGAGGUAACGGCUCACCAAGGCCGUGAUGCAUAGCCGACCUGAGAGGGUGAUCGGCCACAUUGGGACUGAGACACGGCCCAAACUCCUACGGGAGGCAGCAGUAGGGAAUCUUCCGCAAUGGACGCAAGUCUGACGGAGCAACGCCGCGUGAGUGAAGAAGGUUUUCGGAUCGUAAAACUCUGUUGUUAGAGAAGAACAAGUGCUAGAGUGACUGUUAGCGCCUUGACGGUAUCUAACCAGAAAGCCACGGCUAACUACGUG
RNAcentral lists this ribosomal RNA (498 nucleotides) under uncultured bacterium. Its description in RNAcentral is "partial 16S ribosomal RNA". It matches the Rfam family "Bacterial small subunit ribosomal RNA", at positions 28 to 507 of the family's 1533-position model. The record is from RNAcentral.